Schistosoma curassoni is the source of this 46-nucleotide non-coding RNA. Lineage: Eukaryota; Metazoa; Platyhelminthes; Trematoda; Strigeidida; Schistosomatidae. The record is from Rfam.
GCACUGCUGACGAGUCCCAUAACAGGACGAAACGAACAUCCAGUGU